AACGAAACGCUGGCGGCAUGCCUAAACACAUGCAAAGUCGAAACGGGAUCCGAGCUUCGGUUCGGUGAGAGUGGCGGACGGGUGAGUAACGCGUGGGAACCUGCCCAGUGGUGGGGGGAUAACUGCGGGAAACUGCAGCUAAUACCGCAUGAGCCCGAGAGGGGAAAGAUUUAUCGCCAUUGGAGGGGCCCGCGUUCGAUUAGGUAGUUGGUGAGGUAAUGGCUCACCAAGCCUACGAUCGAUAGCUGGUCUGAGAGGAUGAUCAGCCACACUGGGACUGAGAUACGGCCCAGACUCCUACGGGAGGCAGCAGUGGGGAAUAUUGGACAAUGGGGGGCAACCCUGAUCCAGCAAUGCCGCGUGAGUGAUGAAGGCCUUCGGGUUGUAAAGCUCUUUUGCCAGGGACGAUGAUGACGGUACCUGGAGAAUAAGCCCCGGGCUAACUUCGUGCCCAGCAGCCGCGGUAA
This 467-nucleotide ribosomal RNA is filed under the name uncultured bacterium. RNAcentral describes it as "bacterial SSU rRNA". It matches the Rfam family "Bacterial small subunit ribosomal RNA", at positions 32 to 523 of the family's 1533-position model. The record is from RNAcentral.